GACGAACGCUGGCGGCGUGCUUAACACAUGCAAGUCGAACGGAAAGGCCCUGCUUUUGUGGGGUGCUCGAGUGGCGAACGGGUGAGUAACACGUGAGUAACCUGCCCUUGACUUUGGGAUAACUUCAGGAAACUGGGGCUAAUACCGGAUAGGAGCUCCUGCUGCAUGGUGGGGGUUGGAAAGUUUCGGCGGUUGGGGAUGGACUCGCGGCUUAUCAGCUUGUUGGUGGGGUAGUGGCUUACCAAGGCUUUGACGGGUAGCCGGCCUGAGAGGGUGACCGGCCACAUUGGGACUGAGAUACGGCCCAGACUCCUACGGGAGGCAGCAGUGGGGAAUAUUUGACCAUGGGCGGAAGCCUGAUGCAGCAACGCCGCGUGGGGGAUGACGGCCUUCGGGGUGUAAACCGCUUUCGCCUGUGACGGAGCGUGAGUGAAGGUAAUGGGUAAAGAAGCACCGGCUAAAUACGUG
Molecule: ribosomal RNA, 468 nt
Filed under: uncultured bacterium
Lineage: Bacteria
Description: partial 16S ribosomal RNA
Rfam family: Bacterial small subunit ribosomal RNA
Source: RNAcentral